Molecule: ribosomal RNA, 253 nt
Filed under: Coprococcus comes ATCC 27758
Lineage: Bacteria; Bacillati; Bacillota; Clostridia; Lachnospirales; Lachnospiraceae
Description: partial 16S ribosomal RNA
Rfam family: Bacterial small subunit ribosomal RNA
Source: RNAcentral
UACGUAUGGUGCAAGCGUUAUCCGGAUUUACUGGGUGUAAAGGGAGCGUAGACGGCUGUGUAAGUCUGAAGUGAAAGCCCGGGGCUCAACCCCGGGACUGCUUUGGAAACUAUGCAGCUAGAGUGUCGGAGAUGUAAGUGGAAUUCCCAGUGUAGCGGUGAAAUGCGUAGAUAUUGGGAGGAACACCAGUGGCGAAGGCGGCUUACUGGACGAUGACUGACGUUGAGGCUCGAAAGCGUGGGGAGCAAACAGG